Molecule: long non-coding RNA, 837 nt
Organism: Panicum virgatum (switchgrass)
Lineage: Eukaryota; Viridiplantae; Streptophyta; Magnoliopsida; Poales; Poaceae
Exons: 3
Source: RefSeq, a predicted model, not a curated record
UAUCUCUGCACUGUGCUAACAGUUAUGGAUCGUUUGAAGAAUCAUUUUUCCACUAAACGGUUUAAAAAAGUUAUUGAUUCUCUAUCAGAAGAUUAAAAAGGUUUUGUUGUAAAGAAUGGUUUUCAAAGUAUUUUGGCUAUGCGCAAGUUCAGUGUUCCGUUGCCUUUUCUUGAAUGGGUGAUGGGUCUGCUUGUCAUUGAGCCUUAUUAGUUUAUGCACAGAGGAUAGACUUUCAGGUUCACCAGAUUUAUGGUUCAACAAAUCCUUGGUAUUCCUUCUGGAGACAUUCCAAUUAAUCUUCUCAAUAGUUCCAUCAAAUCAUGUGAUCAAGCAGAUCAGUGUAAUUCAAUAUUUUUAGUUUCACCAGAUUUUGAAAGAUGAUAUAACUCCUGGAAUCACAAAUGCAAUGGGAUAUGAUACUGAAGCAAGCAUUGAUGUAGCAGAAAUUGAUUGCAGAGUUAAUUCCAAAAGGAAGGCAAGAAUGGGUUCCAGUACGAUUGACAGGAAGAACAGGGAGAAGAGAGCAGUUAUCACAUUUGAUGAUGAUAAUGCAUGAUACCAACAUGGCCUACCAUGAAUUCUGAAGACAAGCUUUUAUGUUGUGGCACCUCAAGAAUGUGUCAAAGUAACCGGGUUCUAUGAGAUGAUACUUUUUGCUGUUCAAGUAGGUUACAUAGGCUUAAGUUUUACAUGUGUCUGCAGCUCUGAAAAACUAAGCAUACUGUUUAUUACUCUAUUUCAUUAUAGAACCUUUUCUCUUGUUCCAUCUUUCUUAACAUCUGCACCAGAAUUCUGAGAACAUUUGAAAGUGUUCCUCACACUCCAUUUGAAAGUGUU